RNAcentral lists this long non-coding RNA (3433 nucleotides) under Homo sapiens (human). Its description in RNAcentral is "non-protein coding lnc-ATG2B-2:8". The record is from RNAcentral. Lineage: Eukaryota; Metazoa; Chordata; Mammalia; Primates; Hominidae.
UUUAUUAUGCUCUACAGAAAAGACACAUGUUUACAUGAUUUUCUCGUUUGGAUGUGAAAUGCUUCCUGUUUACAACAUAACAGCUCAUUGAGUCUUUCACAGGACAGAUGUUCUUUAUCAGGGCAUCUACACCAUGCAUAGGGCCGCUCUUCUCCCGCAGACUCAGUUGCCCCUCAGACCAGGUGUGGAUCCCCACAUGGCCAUUGCGGCAGAGCUCUGCUCCUAAGAGAGUCUCAGACCAUCACGUGCUCUGGUGCUGAAUGACUGCCCUGUGUGACAAAACACAGCCUCUUUUUUUUUUUUUCAUUCACCAUGUGUGGCACAGUUUGACUUCAUUCUAAUACUAAUACUAAAUGGUUUUUACUUCUUCUUUCACCUGUUUUCUUCCUCCAGAUACUUACUGAGGCAGAGGAGAGUGGGUGGUGGGAAAAAAGAGUGGGUUGGGGGUAAGGAGGGAAUCUUUUUUUUGACGCUUUUGCUUUAAAAUUCAGAGUUGGAUUGGUCAGGAUUUAUGGGCUCUUUGCCAUGUAAAUUUUUCUCAUUCUCCAGGUUCUAGCCCUCCAGGUUCAUUCCCUCCAGGUUCUAGCUUGCCAGGUUCUAGCCUGCCGGGUUCUAGCUCUCCAUGUUCUAGCUCUACAGGUUCUAGCCCUUCCAGGUUCUAGCCCUCCAGGUUCUGGCUCUCCAGGUUCUAGCCCUUCUAGGUUCUAACCUGCCAGGUUCUAGCCCUCCAGGUUCUAGCCCUUCUAGGUUCUAGCCCUCCAGGUUCUAGCCCUCCAGGUUCUAGCUCUCCAGAUUCCAGCCCUCCAGGUUCUAGCCCUUCUAGGUUCUAGCCCUCCAGGUUCUAGCCCUCCAGGUUCUAGCUCUCCAGAUUCCAGCCCUCCAGGUUCUAGCCCUUCUAGGUUCUAGCUCUCCAGGUUCUAGCCCUCCAGGUUCUAGUUCUCCAGGUUCUAGCUCUCCAGGUUCUAGCUCUCCAACCAGCUAAUAAAUAUUCAUUUAUCAAGUGAAUGAGUGCUGCCCUGGCACUGCCGAUGGUGAACACCAUUGCCAUUCCUUUUCACACUCUUCUAGGGCUCAUACUGGGCCACCUUCCAAUAAACCAUUGAUUGACAGGAACAAUCCCUUGGUUGCUGAGACAGGAACAGUCCCUGAGCAGGCCUGCACUCUCCCCCUUCCCAGGUACCGGCUGGUGGUGGGGGGUCUCAGCACUGUGAUCCUCUGGGCAAGACCGAUUAGAAAUAUCUUCCUCUGCCUCAUCACAAAUCAGACUUUGAAGACAUGGCCUUCUCUCCAAAUGCUCCUGUGUGUGUGGCGGUUGGGGCCUCAGGGUGGUGGGAAUGACAGGUGGAAGGGAGCCAAUGAGCACCUACUGUGUGCCAGACACUGGUGCUUCACACCGCCACCGGCUCCCAAUACUGAUUCUGCUCCACGGAGCUAUUUCUAGACCUCAGUGUCUUUUCCUUAUAGUAAACAUAUCCCAGUUACGUCUGCGUAAUGAUGCCUCACAUGUACGUAGCACCCUUUGCUUUUCUAAGUACUUUAUACCUGUUACUGCCUUUAACCCUCACAACGACUUCAUGUUACAGAAGAGGGAACUGAGGCAGGGACAGAUGGUUGUGCAAUAGUUAUUGGUUGAGCUGGAACCUUGGUCUCCCCCUUCUGCUGUCCAUAUCACCCACAGCACCCUGCUCGACCGUCUCGUCGAACAGCUUUCUGGUGGUGGCAGUGCCCAGUCGUUCCCACUUGAGUCUUUGAGUUCCUUCAAGAUGGAGAUGGCUCCUUCUCUUUCUUCCCUCUUGCCUACAGUGCUCAAUACUGCAUAUACAGCAAGUGCUCAAUAUGUGCUUAUUGGAUUCUUCUUUGGCACAGACCUCCUUGUCCAUCAGUGAGGGGAGCCAUAAAAUCCUGGUCUCCAGGUUGUUAUCAGGGACCCCUCAGGGCUUAACCUUUAUUAAUGCAAGAAAUUGUCCUUCAAAGUUCUAGCUGAAUAGAUUAAAGAAACCCAGGGCAACAACUCACUUGUGCACUCAGCCAUUGCACCAAAGCUGGAUGGCAGUUCUCCUGGAGAUCUAAGUUGUCUUGCUGGGGCAGGGACGGAGAACACACGGGAGGGAAGCUCAGUCACUCCUCUCCCUGCCCCCAGGCCUCCUCCACUCCUGGGAAGGAGCAGGCUGGCUCAGGUGUGGCAGCAAAUAAGAACAGUAAUGCUGUUGUGAUUUUGGAGUCCUUGGCUGUGCGUGAGUUCACCCCAUCCUCACAGCCAUGCUCCCUGCAAAAUUGGGCAGGGCAGGAAUUAGUCUCCGGUGUUUUACCGGAGACAUCAACUCAUUUCCCAAGGUCGUGCAUAGAUGUCUCCUUGGCAUUCCUGGGCCCAUGCUGAAAAGCAACUGUCCCUCAAUCCUUACACAAAUUCACAGCAGCCCUGCUGGCGUUUGCUCACUGUCUGCUCCCUGCCCAGUCCUGCAGUUUGUGAAUCUGGCGUUCCACGGAGAUGGAGGUCCGCAGUGUGCCCAUGGAGUUCUCCAUCUGAAUGGGUUCUGACCUGCAGCCCCCUUUCUGGCACACUCCCUGGUACACCUCCCAAGACUUCUUUCGGAAGCGCUUGCCCACGAUCACGUACACCAGUGGGUUGAGGCAGCUGUUGCUGUAGGCCAUGAAGGAGGCGAUCUGUGUGAUUACAUCGAUGAUGCGCUCGUCCUGGCAGCUGGAGAGGAUGCCGAGGCGAUGCAGCGUAUCCAGGAAGGUGCUGAUCUGGAAGGGCAGCCAGCAGAUGAUGAAUAGCAGCAGCACAACCAGGACUAGCACCGUGGCCCUCCUCUCUGUCUGGAUCUCCUUGAACUUCUGCAUCUCGUUGUUCCGCAGCACCUGCAUGAUCUGCAUCGUGCAGAAGGUGAUGACACUCAGGGGCAGCAGGAAGCCCACGACAUUCAGGAGCAUGUUGGUGAACACUUCCCAGAUGAGGGAUGGGUAGCUGAUGACACAAGCGGUGACGUUGUGGCCCUCAUCGCUGUACUCCUUCAUGGUCCGGAACACCAGCAUGGGUGAGCUCAGGAGCAGCGUACACCCCCAGAUCACCAAGCUGUAGAGCUUGGCCCAGCGCACGCCGCGCAUCCGGCCCAUGGACAUGGUUUUCACCAGGGCCAGGUAGCGGUCGAUGCUCACCAGCAUCAGGAAACAGAUGCUGCUGUACAGGUUCAUGGAGAUAAUGGCAUUCACCACGCGGCAGAGCGUCUCCCCAAAGAGCCAGUCGAAGUUGUUGGAGAUGGUGAUGGCCCAGAAGGGCAGCCCGCAGGCCAGGAUCAGGUCUGCUGCGGCCAGGUUCCCCAGGUAGAUCUCUGCCACCGUGCAGCUGCUCUUGUGCAGGCAGAAGACGCUGAGGACAAAGAUGUUCUCUAGGGUGGCCAGCACGAACAGCACCCAGAGGAAGGGGGGCUGG